Molecule: ribosomal RNA, 687 nt
Filed under: Triticum aestivum (bread wheat)
Lineage: Eukaryota; Viridiplantae; Streptophyta; Magnoliopsida; Poales; Poaceae
Description: partial small subunit ribosomal RNA
Source: RNAcentral
AUGUCCUCCUACUCGUCCCUCCUCUCCGUGAGCCCCGGCGAGCAGAUCGGUGGGUAUGCGGACGGAGGUGACCACGACGACAUGGCGGCCGCCGCCAACUACCUAUCAUCAUUCUGCUUUGAUUUCGGCGAGGAGUAUUAUUCCCUGGCGGAGGCAGCAACAGCCUCCUACCCCUUGCACGCACAGCAGCAGCAGCAGCCGCCAACCCAGGCCGACAGCCACCACAGCGGCAAAGCAGCAAGUACUACUAGUAGUUCACAAGGACUCGACAAUAUCAACACGAGCUUGACCAGCAGCGACGCGAGGAGCAAAGGCAGCAAGAUCGCGUUCAAGACGAGGUCGGAGGUGGAGGUGCUGGACGACGGGUACCGCUGGAGGAAGUACGGCAAGAAGAUGGUCAAGAACAGCCCAAACCCAAGGAACUACUACCGUUGCUCCAGCGAGGGGUGCCGCGUGAAGAAGCGGGUGGAGCGGGAUCGCGAUGACGAGCGCUUCGUCAUCACCACCUACGACGGCGUCCACAACCACCUUGCGCCACUGCCGCCGCGGGGAUGCGCCGGAUACUCGCUAUCGCUCGCGCAGACGCGCGUGGACGAGGGGUCGUCGCCGCUACCCGUGCAAGGCCGCCGUUGCUUUCUUGACACCAUGAAGAUGCAGGCCGCCGGUAGCGUGAUAUCUGACAAUUGA